CGGUAAUACCAGCUCUCCGAGUGGUGUGGAUGUUUAUUGGGCCUAAAGCAUCCGUAGCUGGCUAGGUCAGUCCCUUGUUAAAUCCACCGAAUUAAUCGUUGGAUUGCGGGGGAUACUGCUUGGCUAGGGGACGAGAGAGGCAGACGGUAUUUUCGGGGUAGGGGUGAAAUCCUAUAAUCCCGGGAAGACCACCAGUGGCGAAGGCUGUCGGCUAGAACGCG
RNAcentral lists this ribosomal RNA (221 nucleotides) under uncultured crenarchaeote. RNAcentral's name for it is "partial 16S ribosomal RNA". It matches the Rfam family "Archaeal small subunit ribosomal RNA", at positions 468 to 689 of the family's 1478-position model. Lineage: Archaea; Thermoproteati; Thermoproteota. The record is from RNAcentral.